RNAcentral lists this ribosomal RNA (298 nucleotides) under uncultured Gammaproteobacteria bacterium. RNAcentral's name for it is "partial 16S ribosomal RNA". It matches the Rfam family "Bacterial small subunit ribosomal RNA", at positions 213 to 503 of the family's 1533-position model. The record is from RNAcentral. Lineage: Bacteria; Pseudomonadati; Pseudomonadota; Gammaproteobacteria.
UCGCGCUAUGAGAUGAGCCUGCGUYAGAUUAGCUAGUUGGUGGGGUAAAGGCYYACCAAGGCGACGAUCURUAGCUGGUCUGAGAGGACGAUCAGCCACACUGGGACUGAGACACGGCCCAGAGUCCUACGGGAGGCAGCAGUGGGGAAUAUUGGACAAUGGGCGAAAGCCUGAUCCAGCAAUACCGCGUGUGUGAAGAAGGCCUUCGGGUUGUAAAGCACUUUCAAUUGGGAGGAAAACCUAYCGGUCAAUACCCGGUAGCUUGACAUUACCUUUAGAAGAAGCCACCGGCUAACUC